UACAGAGGUCUCAAGCGUUGUUCGGAUUCAUUGGGCGUAAAGGGUGUGUAGGUGGCGCGCUAAGUCGGGUGUGAAAUUUCGGAGCUUAACUCCGAAACUGCAUUUGAUACUGCCUUGCUUGAGGACUGGAGAGGAGACUGGAAUUCACGGUGUAGCAGUGAAAUGCGUAGAGAUCGGGAGGAACACCGGUGGCGAAGGCGGGUCUCUGGACAGUUCCUGACGCUGAGGCACGAAGGCCAGGGGAGCAAACGGG
RNAcentral lists this ribosomal RNA (253 nucleotides) under uncultured bacterium. Its description in RNAcentral is "partial 16S ribosomal RNA". It matches the Rfam family "Bacterial small subunit ribosomal RNA", at positions 524 to 776 of the family's 1533-position model. The record is from RNAcentral.